Molecule: ribosomal RNA, 2243 nt
Filed under: Triticum aestivum (bread wheat)
Lineage: Eukaryota; Viridiplantae; Streptophyta; Magnoliopsida; Poales; Poaceae
Description: partial small subunit ribosomal RNA
Source: RNAcentral
AUGUCAAGGAUGGCGACCACCACCAUACAGCUGGUGCUCAUCGUGUUUCAUUUGCUGGUGGCGGCGGCCUCGACUCAGCGCGUGGCGCUGCCGGGGUGCCGGGACAGGUGCGGCAACGUCACCGUCGUCUACCCCUUCGGCAUCGGCGCCGGCUGCUACCGCGACGCCGGCCAGCAGGGCUUCCAGCUCGAGUGCGACGUCUCCGGCCCCGGCAGCUCCCCGCCGCGCCUCACCGUGUUCGGUUACAAUCACCGCCUGGGGGCCCUCUCCCUCGCGUCCGGCGAGGCCCGCGCCUACCUCAACGCGACGAGGGAGUGCUACAACUCCGCCGGCGUGCUCCUAGACCGGAAAGACACGUACAUGUCCCUCGGCACCAGCCCUUACCUCUUCUCGUCCACCAAGAACCGCCUGGUCGCGCUCGGCUGCCCCAACCUCAGCUUCUUCGUCGACGCCGCCGGCUACUACGUCAGCGGCUGCAUGUCCGUGUGCCGGCCGUCCCGGUACGCCCUGCCGGGCCCGUGCACCGGCGUCGGGUGCUGCCAGAGCGCGAUACCGCCCGGGGUCAGCUUCUUCGAGCCGCACCAGCGCAACUUCCUGCCGCAGCAGGACGACAACUCCGCCUUCAUCAGCAACGCCACGUCCUGCCACUACGUGUUCCUCGUCGAGGCGGACUGGUUCAGCUACAGCGACCGCGUCUUCCUCAACCGCACCGACGACUUCGACGUGCCCGUGGUGCUCGACUGGGCCGUUCGGAACGUCGCCAACUGCAGCGCCGCCAGCCGUAACGCCACAGACUUCGCCUGCCGAAGCGCGGGCAGCGAGUGCUUCGACACCGCGAACGGCCCCGGGUACCGGUGCAACUGUUCCAGGGGCUACCCCUACCUCAGACGACAUCGACGAGUGCCAACUGAAAGGCGAAUACCCGUGCUACGGGGUCUGCACAAAGCCACAAACACGCAGGGUAGCUACACUUGCCAGUGCUCUCCCGGGAAAAGUGGAGAUGCCACCAGGAAGGAUGGCUGCCGGCCAAAGGACAAGUUCGCCUUAGCUCUGAAGAUCGUUACAGGAGUCAGCGUGGGGGCAGUGUUCAUGUGCUUCUGGCUCUACUCGGGGCUGCAGAAGAGAAAACUCAUCAAGGCAAAGCAGAGCUUCUUCGAGCACAACGGAGGCGUCAUCCUGCAGCAGCACAGAUGCACUCCUACAGUGGCGCCGCCAGUGGCGGGUUCAAGAUAUUCUCGGAAGAGGAGCUCAAGAAGGCGACAAACAACUUCGCCGUUGACCAGAUCCUCGGUCGCGGCGGCCACGGCAUUGUGUACAGAGGUGUUCUGGAGGACAAGACCAUAGUGGCCAUCAAAAAGUCCAAGAUGAUGGAGGCCACCGAGACCAAGGAGUUCGCGAGGGGGAUGCUCAUCCUCUCCCAGAUCAACCACCGGAAUGUGGUCAAGCUGCAUGGUUGUUGCCUCGAGGUGGAGGUGCUGAUGCUGGUCUACGAGUACGUCUCCAACGGCACUCUCUACCACUACAUCCAUGGCGGCAAGGGCCACGACACCAACAAGGCACUCGACAUCCGCCUACGGGUAGCGGCGGAGUCGGCCGAGGCGCUGUCGUACAUGCACUCGUCCGCCUCGCCACCAAUCCUCCACGGCGAUGUCAAGACGGCAAACAUCUUGCUUGACGGCAGCCUCACAACCAAAGUCUCUUACUUCGGGGCGUCAAAGCUGGCGCCGAUGAGGCUGAGAUUGCGACACUGGUGCAAGGCACCUGCGGGUACCUGGAUCCGGAGUACCUCAUGACAUGACAGCUGACGGACAAGAGUGACGUGUACAACUUUGGCGUCGUUUUGCUCGAGCUCUGGAAAGAAGGUGCCCUGCUUUGACGGGCUUGAGGAGGACAAGAGCCUCGUUUCCCGAUUCGGGACGGCCUUGAAAGCCGGCCGGCACGGCGAGCUCCUUGAUGACCGGGUGAGAUUGGAGAUGGGCCCGGAGGCGCCGGAAGAAGUAACGUAUCUCGUGAUGCGGUGUGUGAGCAUGAUCAGGGAGGAGCGUCCGUCGAUGAAGGAAGUUGCUGAGAAAUUGGAAGCUCUGAGGAGGUAUCAACGGAACCCAUGGGGUCAGGCUGGUGCUGAUCCGGAUGAGGGGCAAAGCUUGCUUGGUAGAGAGCAACAACGUGAUGUGAAUUAUAAGUUCAGACCGCAAGACUUGCUUGAUCUUGAAGAGGGUAGUACAUACACUUUUAGCUUGUAG